This 72-nucleotide transfer RNA is filed under the name Loxodonta africana (African savanna elephant). It matches the Rfam family "tRNA". From Rfam's summary of the family: Transfer RNA (tRNA) molecules are approximately 80 nucleotides in length. Their secondary structure includes four short double-helical elements and three loops (D, anti-codon, and T loops). The record is from Rfam by way of RNAcentral. Lineage: Eukaryota; Metazoa; Chordata; Mammalia; Proboscidea; Elephantidae.
GCCCCGGUGGUGCAAUGGUUAAACACUUGGCUGCUAACUGAAAGGUUGGUGGUUCAAAUCCACCCAGCGGCU